RNAcentral lists this antisense RNA (75 nucleotides) under Streptomyces sp. 150FB. Its description in RNAcentral is "ASpks TB sRNA". It matches the Rfam family "ASpks TB sRNA". Lineage: Bacteria; Bacillati; Actinomycetota; Actinomycetes; Kitasatosporales; Streptomycetaceae. The record is from Rfam by way of RNAcentral.
CUUGAGGGUGCCGAGCCACAACGGCCGCCGCGCGUCCCGCCCUUGGCCGUACGUCGCGAGCAGCGCCCGCGCCUC